AUUGAACGCUGGCGGCAUGCCUUACACAUGCAAGUCGAGCGGAAAGGCCACUUCGGUGGUACUCGAGCGGCGAACGGGUGAGUAACACGUGAGUAAUCUGCCCCUGGCUUUGGGAUAGCCACCGGAAACGGUGAUUAAUACCGGAUACGACAACUACUUGCAUGAGUUGGUUGUGGAAAGUUUUUCGGCCAGGGAUGUGCUCGCGGCCUAUCAGCUUGAUGGUGAGGUAAUGGCUCACCAUGGCUUCGACGGGUAGCCGGCCUGAGAGGGUGACCGGUCACACUGGGACUGAGACACGGCCCAGACACCUACGGGUGGCUG
Molecule: ribosomal RNA, 321 nt
Filed under: uncultured Actinomycetes bacterium
Lineage: Bacteria; Bacillati; Actinomycetota; Actinomycetes
Description: bacterial SSU rRNA
Rfam family: Bacterial small subunit ribosomal RNA
Source: RNAcentral